CAUGCCGAACUCAGAAGUGAAACGCCGUAGCGCCGAUGGUAGUGUGGGGUUUCCCCAUGCGAGAGUAGGGAACUGCCAGGCA
This 82-nucleotide ribosomal RNA is filed under the name Escherichia coli P0304816.9. The record is from RNAcentral. Lineage: Bacteria; Pseudomonadati; Pseudomonadota; Gammaproteobacteria; Enterobacterales; Enterobacteriaceae.